CAUCACUACGCUAGAUGCAUAUCAAUAAGCGGAGGAAAAGAAACUAACUAGGAUUCCCUAGUAACGGCGAGUGAAGCGGGAAGAGCUCAAAUUUGAAAUCUUAAAGGUUUUCCCUUGACGAAUUGUAGUUUAAAGAAGUGUUUUCUGUUGGAGUUUCGGUAAAAGUUCUUUGGAAUAGGACAUCAUAGAGGGUGAGAAUCCCGUAUUUGACCAUUACUUUCCAGCUGUGUGAUACACUUUCAAAGAGUCGGAUUGUUUGGGAAUGCAGUCCAAAAUGGGUGGUAAAUUUCAUCUAAAGCUAAAUAUUGGCGAGAGACCGAUAGCGAACAAGUACCGUGAGGGAAAGAUGAAAAGAACUUUGAAAAGAGAGUUAAACAGUACGUGAAAUUGUCAAAAGGGAAGCGUUUGACACCAGUGUUGUUUAGUUGAAAAUCAAUUCAAUAAUUUUUGAUUUUGAGUAGUAUUGACUUCAUCAGCUUGCUGCUUUCUUUUCGGAAAUUAUUGAAUGCACUUUUCAGUUAACAAGUCAACAUCAAUUUCUUUUGUUGUAAAAGGGUAAGAGGAAGGUGGCUUACGCUUCGGCGUAAGUGUUUAUAGCCUUUCACCUCUGCAAUCGGAGAGAUUGAGGACAGCAGCGUAGACUCUUCGGGGUUAGAUACACUUGUGCUAAGCUAUAGCCUUGUAUAGACAACUUGUUGACUAUGCUCAGUCAUGUAGCUUACUCGCUUGUGCUAUUUUACCUACGCUUAGGAUGUUGACGAGACUGUCGAUCUC
This 774-nucleotide ribosomal RNA is filed under the name uncultured Neocallimastigales. RNAcentral describes it as "partial large subunit ribosomal RNA". It matches the Rfam family "Eukaryotic large subunit ribosomal RNA", at positions 20 to 646 of the family's 3401-position model. Lineage: Eukaryota; Fungi; Neocallimastigomycota; Neocallimastigomycetes; Neocallimastigales. The record is from RNAcentral.